CGCUACUUGAGGAACACAAUAUGGAGCACUUCUAGAGUUACGGAUAAGUGAGUUGGACCAAAAGAUUCAGUCAUUUUUCAUCAUCCCUGCGGGAAUGAGAUCUUUUGUCAAGGACACAGUGGUGUUUCUCAACAUCCCAAAAGGAGGAUGUUAACACACUGAGACUGAACCAUGGCAUUAUGUGUUUUCCAGCAUGUGUUCGGGGCCUAAAGGCCUUCGCUUCUCUGAACACCAGCCCCACCUGUCAAGACCAGCUCCACACUUUCAUCUGAUGCCAUUGUGCUCUGCCUUCACAAACGGG
Cyprinus carpio carpio is the source of this 301-nucleotide long non-coding RNA. Lineage: Eukaryota; Metazoa; Chordata; Actinopteri; Cypriniformes; Cyprinidae. The record is from Ensembl.